Molecule: non-coding RNA, 815 nt
Organism: Pogona vitticeps (central bearded dragon)
Lineage: Eukaryota; Metazoa; Chordata; Lepidosauria; Squamata; Agamidae
Source: RefSeq, a predicted model, not a curated record
UGGGCACUGUGGCCACUUCAUGGCCACUGCGCUUGUACCUUCUUUUUUAUUUUUUUAUUUUUAAAAAGGAAUAUCGAUAAAUCACUAGUAGCAUCCCUUGCUACUAGUGAAAACAACAAAAAUAUAUUGCUUAGAAGGAGACAGCCUUCCCCCUUCCCUUGCAGGUGAAAGGGAGAUAGAAAGAGGGACAUUCCCUAUUUUGAAUGGUAAAGAACAGGGUGUAGCAUUAAUAUCUUCUCUCUCUUUUUAACCCUGCUCUUCACAAUAUUUUGCAAGUUAUCUAAAAUCUGCUUUUUCCUCCCAACACUGCAAAAGGGAAAAAAAAAAAAUGAAAGCCAAGAACUGAAAAGGGAGAAAUAUACAGGGGAAUAAGGAAAGGGGAGCAAUCAAAUAAUAUACAGCUCUCACUGGCCCUCAGCACACAUAUAUGAAGCUAUAUAUAUACCAUAUUAGAGGACCUGUCUCCCCAAAAGUUUAUGAAUGGUUAUGAAAUGUCAUCUCAAAAAACUGGAGCUAAAAAUGCAAGGAAAAACAAACGUGAUGACAUUAAUAAAAACGCUUUUUCAAUUUGGUGUUAAAUGCAAAAGACGUGAAACUAACCAAAAUGAAACUUUAAAUUCAGAACAAUGUGAGACAAGUGCAGAACUGAAACAAAGGUCAGAAUCUCAUGAGGCCAGUUUGGAUUUUCAAGAAACAUCAGAUCAAGUAAAUUCUCAGUUUAAGGAUUUAGAGAAACGAGUGUUAGUGAUGAGAGUACUUCACUGUCUACAGAUUGCGGCCAUGGAAGACAUAGUGAAGAGAACAGUAGGUUAAAU